This 391-nucleotide ribosomal RNA is filed under the name uncultured bacterium. RNAcentral describes it as "bacterial SSU rRNA". It matches the Rfam family "Bacterial small subunit ribosomal RNA", at positions 552 to 940 of the family's 1533-position model. The record is from RNAcentral.
UAUUGGGCGUAAAGAGCUCGUAGGCGGUUUGUCGCGUCUGUCGUGAAAGUCCGGGGCUUAACCCCGGAUCUGCGGUGGGUACGGGCAGACUAGAGUGCAGUAGGGGAGACUGGAAUUCCUGGUGUAGCGGUGGAAUGCGCAGAUAUCAGGAGGAACACCGAUGGCGAAGGCAGGUCUCUGGGCUGUAACUGACGCUGAGGAGCGAAAGCAUGGGGAGCGAACAGGAUUAGAUACCCUGGUAGUCCACGCCGUAAACGGUGGGUACUAGGUGUGGGUUUCCUUCCUUGGGAUCCGUGCCGUAGCUAACGCAUUAAGUACCCCGCCUGGGGAGUACGGCCGCAAGGCUAAAACUCAAAGAAAUUGACGGGGGCCCGCACAAGCGGUAAUCGAA